Non-coding RNA from Beta vulgaris subsp. vulgaris (sugar beet), 86 nucleotides. The record is from Rfam. NCBI's taxonomy places the organism in Eukaryota, Viridiplantae, Streptophyta, Magnoliopsida, Caryophyllales, Amaranthaceae.
UGGCUGAGGAUGAUAAUUACAUUUAUCUUAGCGGAUUUCAGUGAGAUUGAUAAUCUAUGAUCUGAUUGUUACACACACUGAAGCCG